This 177-nucleotide microRNA precursor is filed under the name Oryza nivara. Its description in RNAcentral is "MIR812 microRNA precursor family". It matches the Rfam family "MIR812 microRNA precursor family". The record is from Rfam by way of RNAcentral. Lineage: Eukaryota; Viridiplantae; Streptophyta; Magnoliopsida; Poales; Poaceae.
CAUAAGAAUAGUGGUACCUACCUUAAUGCUACUUAUGAUCAUAAAUGGAGAUGCCCUUAGAUGAUAAAACAUGAAUAGUAAUUCAUGUGUGACUUCUGUUUUUAUUUUUUUUUAAAAAAAGUUUCAAAUAAGACGAACGAUUAAAGUUGGGCACGGAAAAUUAUGGCUGCACUUAAA